Podarcis lilfordi (Lilford's wall lizard) is the source of this 72-nucleotide non-coding RNA. The record is from the annotation of a GenBank genome assembly. NCBI's taxonomy places the organism in Eukaryota, Metazoa, Chordata, Lepidosauria, Squamata, Lacertidae.
AGGGGUGUGGCUCAGUUGUAGAGCACCUGCUUUGCAUGCAGAAGGCCCCAAGUGCAAUCCCUGGCAUCUCCA